Molecule: ribosomal RNA, 164 nt
Filed under: uncultured bacterium
Lineage: Bacteria
Description: partial 16S rRNA
Rfam family: Bacterial small subunit ribosomal RNA
Source: RNAcentral
UAGGGAAUCUUCCACAAUGGGCGAAAGCCUGAUGGAGCAACGCCGCGUGUGUGAUGAAGGGUUUCGGCUCGUAAAACACUGUUGUAAGAGAAGAAUGACGUUGAGAGUAACUGUUCAAUGUGUGACGGUAUCUUACCAGAAAGGAACGGCUAAAUACGUGCCAG